Nosema bombycis CQ1 is the source of this 172-nucleotide small nucleolar RNA. It matches the Rfam family "Small nucleolar RNA U3". Rfam says of the family: Small nucleolar RNAs (snoRNAs) are involved in the processing and modification of rRNA in the nucleolus. There are two main classes of snoRNAs: the box C/D class, and the box H/ACA class. NCBI's taxonomy places the organism in Eukaryota, Fungi, Microsporidia, Nosematidae. The record is from Rfam.
UCGGUUUUACUUUUCAGAAUCUUUUGUUUAGUUAACCACGAUAAUACAUAGAAAGCUAUGUCAAAAUUACGACUAGGAUGAGGAAGUAAGACAACUAUGGGGAUGAAAUAGAGUUUAUCUCAUUGAUGAUCCAAGUACUUGAGGGUACUCUUAUAGUUGUUGUCUGACUAGU